AGUGAACGCUGGCGGCAGGCCUAACACAUGCAAGUCGAACGGCAGCACAGUAAGAUCUUGCUCUUACGGGUGGCGAGUGGCGGACGGGUGAGGAAUACAUCAGAAUCUACUUUUUCUUGGGUGAUAACGUAGGGAAACUUCCGCUAAUACCGCAUACGACCUACGGGUGAAAGCAGGAGAUCUUCGGACCUUUCGCGAUUGAAUGAGCCGAUGUCGGAUUAGCUAGUUGGCGGGGUAAAGGCCCACCAAGGCGACGAUCCGUAGCUGGUCUGAGAGGAUGAUCAGCCACACUGGAACUGAGACACGGUCCAGACUCCUACGGGAGGCAGCAGUGGGGAAUAUUGGACAAAGGGCGAAAGCCUGAUCCAGCAAUACCGCGUGGGUGAAGAAGGCCUUCGGGUUGUAAAGCCCUUUUGUUGGGAAAGAAAAGAAGCAGGUUAAUCCACCGAUGUCCUGACGGUACCCAAAGAAUAAGCAACGGCUAACUUCGUG
Molecule: ribosomal RNA, 492 nt
Filed under: uncultured bacterium
Lineage: Bacteria
Description: partial 16S ribosomal RNA
Rfam family: Bacterial small subunit ribosomal RNA
Source: RNAcentral